ACGGGUGAGUAAUACAUCGGAACGUAUCCUGGAGUGGGGGAUAGCCCGGCGAAAGCCGGAUUGAUACCGCAUACGCUCUGAGGAGGAAAGCGGGGGACCUUCGGGCCUCGCGCUCAAGGGGCGGCCGAUGGCGGAUUAGGUAGUUGGUGGGGUAAAGGCCUACCAAGCCGACGAUCCGUAGCUGGUCUGAGAGGACGACCAGCCACACUGGGACUGAGACACGGCCCAGACUCCUACGGGAGGCAGCAGUGGGGAAUUUUGGACAAUGGGGGCAACCCUGAUCCAGCAAUGCCGCGUGUGUGAAGAGGGCCUUCGGGUUGUAAAGCACUUUUGUCCGGAAAGAAAUCAUCGGGGCCAAUACCCCUGGUGGAUGACGGUACCGGAAGAAUAAGCACCGGCUAACUACGUGCCAGCAGCCGCGGUAAUACGUAGGGUGCGAGCGUUAAUCGGAAUUACUGGGCGUAAAGCGUGCGCAGGCGGUGCUGUAAGACCGAUGUGAAAUCCCCGGGCUUAACCUGGGAACUGCAUUGGUGACUGCAGCGCUGGAGUAUGGCAGAGGGGGGUGGAAUUCCACGU
RNAcentral lists this ribosomal RNA (576 nucleotides) under uncultured bacterium. RNAcentral describes it as "bacterial SSU rRNA". It matches the Rfam family "Bacterial small subunit ribosomal RNA", at positions 102 to 674 of the family's 1533-position model. The record is from RNAcentral.